UUUUCAUGAAGCCUAGCGAUUGAAAGUUAGUGGCGGACGGGUGAGUAACGCGUGGGUAACCUGCCUUGUACUGGGGGACAACAGUUGGAAACGACUGCUAAUACCGCAUGAAGCAUAGGGGUCGCAUGAUUCUUAUGCCAAAGAUUUAUCGCUUCAAGAUGGCCUCGCGUCUGAUUAGAUAGUUGGUGGGGUAACGGCCUACCAAGUCGACGAUCAGUAGCCGGACUGAGAGGUUGAACGGCCACAUUGGGACUGAGAUACGGCCCAGACUCC
RNAcentral lists this ribosomal RNA (273 nucleotides) under uncultured Oscillibacter sp. RNAcentral's name for it is "partial 16S ribosomal RNA". It matches the Rfam family "Bacterial small subunit ribosomal RNA", at positions 59 to 339 of the family's 1533-position model. Lineage: Bacteria; Bacillati; Bacillota; Clostridia; Eubacteriales; Oscillospiraceae. The record is from RNAcentral.